Molecule: long non-coding RNA, 191 nt
Organism: Phacochoerus africanus (Common warthog)
Lineage: Eukaryota; Metazoa; Chordata; Mammalia; Artiodactyla; Suidae
Exons: 3
Source: RefSeq, a predicted model, not a curated record
UCGGAAGCGCAGCUCCGCCCUCCGGACGCGGUCGCUAUGGUAACCCAAAGGCAUUUUCCAGGGCGUUUGUCAUCAUAAUCAUCAGUGACCAUUCAUUGAGUUUAAGCAAGGCAGUGCACUAAGCAGGGGAGACAAAGAGAUUGAAGAACAGAAAUAAUGAAUUUUCAAAACUCAGGAGUCAAUCUUGAAAG